AGAGUUUGAUCCUGGCUCAGAACGAACGCUGGCGGCAGGCCUAACACAUGCAAGUCGAACGACAUAGUGGCAGACGGGUGAGUAACGCGUGGGAACGUACCUUUCGCUACGGAAUAGCUCUUGGAAACGAGUGGUAAUACCGUAUACGCCCUCCGGGGGAAAGAUUUAUCGGCGAAAGAUCGGCCCGCGUUAGAUUAGGUAGUUGGUGGGGUAAUGGCCUACCAAGCCUACGAUCUAUAGCUGGUCUGAGAGGAUGAUCAGCCACACUGGGACUGAGACACGGCCCAGACUCCUACGGGAGGCAGCAGUGGGGAAUCUUGCACAAUGGGCGAAAGCCUGAUGCAGCCAUGCCGCGUGAAUGAUGAAGGCCUUAGGGUUGUAAAAUUCUUUCGCCAGGGAUGAUAAUGACAGUACCUGGUAGAGAAGCCCCGGCUAACUUCGUGCCAGCAGCCGCGGUAAUACGAAGGGGGCUAGCGUUGUUCGGAAUUACUGGGCGUAAAGCGCACGUAGGCGGACUUUUAAGUCAGAUGUGAAAUCCCGGGGCUCAACCUCGGAACUGCAUUUGAAACUGGAAGUCUGGAGUUCAGGAGAGGUUAGCGGAAUACCGAGUGUAGAGGUGAAAUUCGUAGAUAUUCGGUGGAACACCAGUGGCGAAGGCGGCUAACUGGACUGAUACUGACGCUGAGGUGCGAAAGUGUGGGGAGCAAACAGGAUUAGAUACCCUGGUAGUCCAUGCCGUAAACGAUGUACACUAGACGUUCGUGUAACUACGGUUGAAUGAGUGUCGCAGCAAACGCGAUAAGUGUACCGCCUGGGGAGUACGGUCGCAAGGCUAAAACUCAAAGGAAUUGACGG
Molecule: ribosomal RNA, 855 nt
Filed under: uncultured bacterium
Lineage: Bacteria
Description: bacterial SSU rRNA
Rfam family: Bacterial small subunit ribosomal RNA
Source: RNAcentral